Molecule: small RNA, 1243 nt
Filed under: Pan troglodytes (chimpanzee)
Lineage: Eukaryota; Metazoa; Chordata; Mammalia; Primates; Hominidae
Description: retained intron
Source: RNAcentral
CUUUGAUGGGCCCCAUUGUGACGAAGCUGGUGCAUCAGGAGAAGCUGGAGGGAGAUUUUAGGUUCAAGCACAUGCAGAUUCGGGUGAAUGCGGAGCCUGCUGCUUUCUACAGAGCUGGGCAUGUGGAGCACAUGAGGACAGACCGCAGGCUGCAGAGACUCCUUCAGACCCAGAGGGAACUGAUGUCCAAGGAGCUCUGGCUGUACAGUAGGCGAGGGGGCCCAGGGAGGUGGGAACCAUGGGGUUGGACUGGUCUGCUUCCCUUCCCACACCUCUCUACCUCCUGUCUGCAAGGAUAAAUGUGCCAUGAUGAAGGAAUUAACCGGGGAUGGGGGGGGGGGGCUGUUGCCUUUCUGUGAGUAUCCUCAGGAGAAUGAGGAUCCAGAGAGGCCACGUGGCCCUACUUGGUGUCCUGCUCCCUGUCUUAGGGUUGUGUCCACUGUAGGGCAUGUGGAUGGUUCCUGGGUGUCUCACAGAUCUGUUUUCUACAGUCGGCAUCAACACCUUUGACUAUCUGGGCAGCAUCCUGAGUUACGUUGUCAUCGCAAUCCCCAUUUUCAGCGGGGUCUAUGGAGACCUGAGUCCCGCAGAGCUUAGCACCCUGGUCAGCAAGAAUGCCUUUGUGUGCAUCUACCUCAUCAGCUGCUUCACCCAGCUCAUCGACCUGUCCACGACGCUCUCAGAUGUGGCUGGCUACACGCACAGAAUUGGGCAGCUUCGGGAGACGCUUCUGGACAUGUCCCCGAAGUCACAGGACUGCGAGAUCCUGGGCGAGAGCGAGUGGGGCUUGGACACACCCCCAGGGUGGCCAGUGGCAGAGCCAGCAGACACAGCAUUUCUCCUUGAGCGGGUCUCCAUCUCUGCCCCCUCCUCUGACAAACCCCUAAUCAAGGAUCUGAGCCUAAAGAUCUCCGAGGGACAGAGCCUGCUCAUCACAGGCAACACGGGCACUGGCAAGACCUCCUUGCUCCGGGUUCUGGGUGGCCUCUGGACGAGUACACGGGGUGAUAUAUCCCCUGAAGGAGGUCUACCCCGACUCAGGAGAGAUGCCCAUUGGGACAAGGAAAGUGAUGCCUUCCUUCACCCACCCCUUCCCUUAUGAAGAUCUGCAACCUGUGGUUUCAAAGCCUUCGCCCAGCAUUCUGGGGCCCCCCACCCCUGCCAUCAUCCAUGAUGUGCCCUGUCUAUUCUUUUUUUUUUUUUUUUUUUUGAGAUGGAGUUUCACUCUGUCACCCAGACUGGA